This 209-nucleotide long non-coding RNA is filed under the name Sorghum bicolor (sorghum). Its description in RNAcentral is "long non-coding RNA (SBIC_LNC016076)". Lineage: Eukaryota; Viridiplantae; Streptophyta; Magnoliopsida; Poales; Poaceae. The record is from RNAcentral.
ACCAGUCCACCACUGACAUUUGUAGUGGCUGCAUAUCCACAUACCAAAAGUCUCCCUACUCUCUAAUCAGCACCUACUGCUCAGAGCAACCACUUGCAUUAUAUUAUUUAUGCUACAGCAAAGGUCUUCCUACCAGACAUCCAAGCAAAGGGGUUCCUACCAGACUUCACUUCUUCGGCUUGUACUUGGCCUUGAUCUCGUCGUACAGG